RNAcentral lists this ribosomal RNA (645 nucleotides) under uncultured bacterium. Its description in RNAcentral is "bacterial SSU rRNA". It matches the Rfam family "Bacterial small subunit ribosomal RNA", at positions 1 to 626 of the family's 1533-position model. The record is from RNAcentral.
AUUCGCCCUUAGAGUUUGAUUCUCGCUCAGGAUGAACGCUAGCGACAGGCUUAACACAUGCAAGUCGAGGGGCAGCGGGGCGGCAGGCUUGCCUGCCGUUGCCGGCGACCGGCGCACGGGUGAGUAACACGUAUGCAACCUGCCCGUGGCAGGGGGAUAAGCGGGGGAAACCCCGUCUAAUACCGCGUAACGCGGCCUAGGGACAUCCCAAGGCCGCCAAAGGGAGCAAUCCCGGCCACGGAUGGGCAUGCGGCGCAUUAGCUAGUCGGCGGGGUAACGGCCCACCGAGGCGACGAUGCGUAGGGGUUCUGAGAGGAAGGCCCCCCACACUGGUACUGAGACACGGACCAGACUCCUACGGGAGGCAGCAGUGAGGAAUAUUGGUCAAUGGGCGCGAGCCUGAACCAGCCAAGUCGCGUGAGGGAGGACGGCCCUACGGGUUGUAAACCUCUUUUGCCGGGGAGCAACGGGCGCCACGUGUGGCGCCACUGAGAGUACCCGGAGAAAAAGCAUCGGCUAACUCCGUGCCAGCAGCCGCGGUAAUACGGAGGAUGCGAGCGUUAUCCGGAUUUAUUGGGUUUAAAAGGUGCGUAGGCGGAUCGUUAAGUCAGUGGUCAAAUUGAGGGGCUCAACCCCUUCCCGCCA